This 564-nucleotide small RNA is filed under the name Pan troglodytes (chimpanzee). RNAcentral describes it as "retained intron". Lineage: Eukaryota; Metazoa; Chordata; Mammalia; Primates; Hominidae. The record is from RNAcentral.
CUCGAGCCCCCACCACCCGCUCUACCGCCCCCUCGAGCCCCCACCACCCGCCCCACCGCCCUCUGCUGCCUGGGGCUGUUGCUGGUUCCAGGCCUUCGGGUCGCCCCUUGGCCUCUGGUUAUGUGAGCCCAUAGUCCUUCCUGUCUUGGUGACAUCGUAUACGAAAAGCCGGGGCUCGAUUUGGACAUAGUAGGAAUCCUAUUAUUGAGACCCUGUAUAUAGAAAAACAUGGCAGUUUCUACCUUCAUCAGUUAAUAAAAUCAAGUACCUACUAUUGCUAUUCUUAAUCAUAAUUACAUUGAAUUUGCGAUGGGGGUGGGGGGAAAUGCAUGUCAUUGCAGUUGAUACCUGUUAAGAAACUCUCAAUUUGUGCCCUGAAAAGCCAUAAUGGAGAUAUCAAUGCCUCCACCUCAGAUAUAUGUAGAAAAAACUCUGGCCAUUAUCAAACCAGAUAUUGUUGACAAAGAGGAGGAGAUACAAGAUAUUAUUCUUAGAUCCGGAUUCACCAUUGUUCAGAGAAGAAAACUACACCUCAGCCCUGAGCAAUGUAGUAACUUUUAUGUG